Molecule: unclassified non-coding RNA, 345 nt
Filed under: soil metagenome
Description: partial contains 5.8S ribosomal RNA, internal transcribed spacer 2, and large subunit ribosomal RNA
Rfam family: 5.8S ribosomal RNA (bases 1-120)
Source: RNAcentral
GAUGAAGAACGUAGCAAAAUGCGAUAAGUAAUGUGAAUUGCAGAAUUCAGUGAAUCAUCGAAUCUUUGAACGCACAUUGCGCCCGCCAGUAUUCUGGCGGGCAUGCCUGUUCGAGCGUCAUUUCAACCCUCAAGCCCUCGGGUUUGGUGUUGGGGAUCGGCGAGCCUUUCUGGCAAGCCGGCCCCGAAAUCUAGUGGCGGUCUCGCUGCAGCCUCCAUUGCGUAGUAGUAAAACCCUCGCAACUGGAACGCGGCGCGGCCAAGCCGUUAAACCCCCAACUUCUGAAUGUUGACCUCGGAUCAGGUAGGAAUACCCGCUGAACUUAAGCAUAUCAAUAAGCGGGGA